GACGCAACAUUGCACAGCGCGGGAAAAUUUGUUGUUGACAAUUUAAGUUUAUACUCCCAAAAAAUUGUUUUUUCUCUUUUCAAAUGAAAGUUUUGCUGAAGUAUUGUGUUUAUUUUUGUUUAAUUAAAAGUUUUUAAGCGGCGGCAGUGUUAAUAAGUGAUU
Molecule: non-coding RNA, 162 nt
Organism: Caenorhabditis elegans
Lineage: Eukaryota; Metazoa; Nematoda; Chromadorea; Rhabditida; Rhabditidae
Source: Ensembl